Uranotaenia lowii is the source of this 949-nucleotide long non-coding RNA. RefSeq lists it as uncharacterized. The record is from RefSeq and is a predicted model, not a curated record. The transcript is spliced from 4 exons. Lineage: Eukaryota; Metazoa; Arthropoda; Insecta; Diptera; Culicidae.
CAGUGCUUUUAAGGAUUUAUAUUUGUUUGCGACUCGAAAUGGUUUUCUCCAAAAUUUGACGCGAUAACAGUCGAAACCGUCGAAACGAAUAAAAGAUUUUACACUGCUCGAUAAAUAAAACGUAAUUCGAGCAGUUCAAUCGUUAUCGCUGCGUAAAAAUAAAUGAAUUAUUGGUUCGUUUAAGUAUCCGUGCGAGCAACCGGGGUUUUGCGAUUUUUGUUUUGAUUGUUUUGUCCGUAAAAAUAUUGAAUUGCUGCAGUUUCGGAUAUUGGGAGUCUCACUGGCUCCAGCCAACAAACAGCAAAAAAAAAAGAUAUUGGGAGUCAGUAUCAUUUUUGUUCUUUUUCAAAAGAAACAACUUUCUCAAUUUUGCAAUGGAAUCAGGGGGCAUAAACAUAACAUCAUCCUACACUUGGAUGGGUAGGCCCUCCACAAUCCGGAUACCCCGGUUCGUGGCACCCAGUGAAGGUCGGAUUCGGGAAAAAUGGAGGUAGUGGUGCAUUGCCAUCUUCGGAUUUAUUCUGAAGUGUAGUCCGAAAAUGGAGAAGGAGCGAUCGGUUGAUUUUUUUUAUUCUCCAUGUUUAUCGGAAUUAACGACACUAAACGACUGGGAUCAAUUGUUUUAAUUUUGCUGCACUGAGAAGUUUACAAACUACUGCUCGGCGAGAAAACUUGUGCUUUCAGAGAAGGAGGCCCAGGCGCUGCGGUUCCAACCGGAACAUACUGUACACCGGAAAUAAAUAUCAAUAAACCAGCUUGGUAGCGGAGAUUCACUUAAGGAAUCUUUGCAUCAGCUGAGAUGCGCUAGAAUACUCGGUUUCCUUCAAAUAGACGAAAAUGUUCCGUUUCCGCGAUGCGAAUGCCAAUUCGAAUUCGUUCUUUUUCUUCUCCGUCGGAAGGGAGGUUUCCCUGUUAUCUCUAUCGAAAGCAUUUAUUUCGAGAAGGCCAA